CUGGAAGACACAGUAUUCUGGACAUAGAAUUAAAGCGAGAAAAGAAGAUCAGGGAUAACAUAAACUCUUCGUGAAUAUGGCCACUGCAGAUGAUGAAUAUGGCCACAACAGAUGAUGAUCAUUAGUUUGACCAGAUGAUUUAAGAUUUUCUUAGCAUCCAAACGGAGACGGAAUGUUCCUUAUCCGACAGUGAAACCAGAUGUGUAUAUUCAUGGUGGACUUCUCAUCCUCGGUGUCUUGUUCAUGUUGUGGUUGUGACCUGCAGAAUGCGCUUUUUCAUAUGCUUUGUGUUGCAGUGGUGGCUGAUUGAUCUGAUCCCUCCAGUAAUAUCAGAGAUAGUUUGGAGGCAUUGUACAAAAAUUUUUUUUGUCACUUGCUAUAAAUGGUGAGAAAUAAUUUGAGAUACUCUAGCUAGCCAUAGGUUUGGAAUUAUAAGGUUAUUGCAAAAUUAAUUGUCUUCCUUCAACAUUCUCAUGUACUUUUUUCAACUCUAAAAGGAUUAUUGUUUAUGCUCAUGUCAUUGUUGUUCAGAUUAUUUUAAAUGAAAGUAGAUAUAUAUAGUAA
Carya illinoinensis is the source of this 564-nucleotide long non-coding RNA. RefSeq lists it as uncharacterized. Lineage: Eukaryota; Viridiplantae; Streptophyta; Magnoliopsida; Fagales; Juglandaceae. The transcript has 2 exons. The record is from RefSeq and is a predicted model, not a curated record.